CUUACAGAUGUAAUGUCUAUGACAGUGUGACUUAUUUUAUUUCCAAAAAUGCCUCUAAUGAGCUGAUUGAAAAAUUCAUUGGACAUUGUUAACAAUGGUUUCCAUUAAAAAAUAAAGAUGAACAUAAGGAGGUAAAUCAAAAGGACUUGAAACGUGGAGAAACAGAGCCCCACUCAUACUUUCCCCUUUUGGACUUGGAAAGGACAGUUGUAUUUAUGAAAUGGUUAUCAUUUAAACACGUUAAAUGAACAAGGAGACAAGAAAGAUUCGAAACCUGGAGAAGUGAAGCCCCGUUAAUGUUUUUUAGAAAAAACAUGCGGUCCAAUUCCACUGAUGGAUAUAAAGUUGCGCAUGUGAUGUUGUGUCUUCUGCUCUGUGGCUCAUUUCACUAUCAAUGGUAUCAUUAUUCGUUUCAAAAGUAUCUAUUGUUAGAGGCACUCUCUGCUGUCAACGCUUAGGAAUAACACUCGAGCACCUUCGGUAAUCCUCGAGAUUGUUCAACUAAUGGGAAAGAAGUAAAGUUCAGUUUGGUCCUAUUGAAACAACCAAUGUCCACAUGGGCAUCACUUUACCUGGAUUGUUCUCUCGAUUAGCUGUGUACAUCUUUGCCUUGCAACAUUAUGAAGUUAAUUUUCAACAGAUAAGCAAGAACAAGAGGAGAUUUACUUGAAUUCCACUCAAAGAACAAGUUUUCUUCUUUGGCAUUCCUUCUGGAUUUGGUUUGCUUUUUACACCUGAGUUUGGGAUGUUACAAUCUACAGUUAAUUAAGAUCGACGUUGGAGAAAACAAAGAUGACCCCGUAGUUGAA
This 809-nucleotide long non-coding RNA is filed under the name Agrilus planipennis (emerald ash borer). Its description in RNAcentral is "uncharacterized LOC112905795, transcript variant X1". Lineage: Eukaryota; Metazoa; Arthropoda; Insecta; Coleoptera; Buprestidae. The record is from RNAcentral.